This 84-nucleotide ribosomal RNA is filed under the name Mesua ferrea. RNAcentral describes it as "partial 5.8S ribosomal RNA". Lineage: Eukaryota; Viridiplantae; Streptophyta; Magnoliopsida; Malpighiales; Calophyllaceae. The record is from RNAcentral.
CCGGAGACGGUGCUCGCGACGGGGGCGUCGUCCUCUUGUACUAAGUCAAAACGACUCUCGGCAACGGAUAUCUCGGCUCUCGCA